Molecule: ribosomal RNA, 144 nt
Filed under: uncultured bacterium
Lineage: Bacteria
Description: partial 16S ribosomal RNA
Source: RNAcentral
UCCUACGGAGCAGCAGUGGGGAAUUUUGGACAAUGGGGCAACCCUGAUCCAGCAAUGCCGCGGAGCAAGAAGGCGUUCGGGUGUAAAGCUCUUAAGCCGGGAAGAAAGAACGCUCUUCACAUAGAAGAUGCAUGACGUACUGCU